AGGCCUACACAUGCAGUCGAGCGGUAGCACAGAGAGCUUGCUCUCGGGUGACGAGCGGCGGACGGGUGAGUAAUGUCUGGGAAACUGCCUGAUGGAGGGGGAUAACUACUGGAAACGGUAGCUAAUACCGCAUAACGUCGCAAGACCAAAGUGGGGGACCUUCGGGCCUCAUGCCAUCAGAUGUGCCCAGAUGGGAUUAGCUAGUAGGUGGGGUAAUGGCUCACCUAGGCGACGAUCCCUAGCUGGUCUGAGAGGAUGACCAGCCACACUGGAACUGAGACACGGUCCAGACUCCUACGGGAGGCAGCAGUGGGGAAUAUUGCACAAUGGGCGCAAGCCUGAUGCAGCCAUGCCGCGUGUAUGAAGAAGGCCUUCGGGUUGUAAAGUACUUUCAGCGAGGAGGAAGGCGUUAAGGUUAAUAACCUUAGCGAUUGACGUUACUCGCAGAAGAAGCACCGGCUAACUCCGUGCCAGCAGCCGCGGUAAUACGGAGGGUGCAAGCGUUAAUCGGAAUUACUGGGCGUAAAGCGCACGCAGGCGGUCUGUCAAGUCGGAUGUGAAAUCCCCGGGCUCAACCUGGGAACUGCAUUCGAAACUGGCAGGCUAGAGUCUUGUAGAGGGGGGUAGAAUUCCAGGUGUAGCGGUGAAAUGCGUAGAGAUCUGGAGGAAUACCGGUGGCGAAGGCGGCCCCCUGGACAAAGACUGACGCUCAGGUGCGAAAGCGUGGGGAGCAAACAGGAUUA
Molecule: ribosomal RNA, 743 nt
Filed under: Klebsiella aerogenes
Lineage: Bacteria; Pseudomonadati; Pseudomonadota; Gammaproteobacteria; Enterobacterales; Enterobacteriaceae
Description: bacterial SSU rRNA
Rfam family: Bacterial small subunit ribosomal RNA
Source: RNAcentral